GCCAGGCUCCUGGUGGUUCUUUCUCUCAUCUGCUACCUCUUCCUAUUCCUAUUUGCCACUGGCUCAGUUUGGCUCUUUUUAUCUCAGGAUUACUUCAUUUAACCUUCCUGGGCUCUUAGACUAUAAUAUAACCAUGCCCCUCCAUAAUACUCACCUCUAUGGCCAGAGAUUAUUUCAAAAUGCCACUCUGGUCACAUCAUUUCUCAGCUCAAAAACCUUCAGUGGCUCCCUAGUGCCUCAGGUUCAAGUCUGAAUCCAUCUGUCACAUGCAAAGAAGGACCUCUCUCAACAUGCAUCCUACCCCCUUUACUCCAAUUAGGCCAAACAUUUAUAAAGUUUCCCAAAAUGAGCUUUUAAGCCCUCCACACACUGUUUGGAAUUCCUUUCCUCCUUGUCUCUUCUUUAAGACUUUGCUUAAGUACAAUUCCUCUUUGAAGCCUGUCCUGGUUUCCCCCCUGAGCACGAUCAGGGUAAGCUUCAUAGAGAAGUCAGGCUUGAGCAGAGCCUGGGGUCAGCGGUGGCCUCUGCUUCCUAAGUGUCUCUCCUAUUCCAGUGUAGAAUUCCGCCCCUUUCUGGCACAGAGGAGCCAUCCAACAAACACCCAA
RNAcentral lists this long non-coding RNA (605 nucleotides) under Marmota monax (woodchuck). Lineage: Eukaryota; Metazoa; Chordata; Mammalia; Rodentia; Sciuridae. The record is from RNAcentral.